UACAGAGGGUGCGAGCGUUAAUCGGAAUUACUGGGCGUAAAGCGUGCGUAGGUGGUUUGUUAAGUCUGCUGUGAAAGCCCUGGGCUCAACCUGGGAAUGGCGGUGGAUACUGACAAGCUAGAGUGCGGUAGAGGAGGGUGGAAUUCCCGGUGUAGCGGUGAAAUGCGUAGAGAUCGGGAGGAACAUCAGUGGCGAAGGCGGCCCUCUGGACCAGCACUGACGCUGAGGCACGAAAGCGUGGGGAGCAAACAGG
This 253-nucleotide ribosomal RNA is filed under the name uncultured bacterium. RNAcentral's name for it is "partial 16S ribosomal RNA". It matches the Rfam family "Bacterial small subunit ribosomal RNA", at positions 524 to 776 of the family's 1533-position model. The record is from RNAcentral.